This 73-nucleotide transfer RNA is filed under the name Stegodyphus mimosarum. It matches the Rfam family "tRNA". Rfam says of the family: Transfer RNA (tRNA) molecules are approximately 80 nucleotides in length. Their secondary structure includes four short double-helical elements and three loops (D, anti-codon, and T loops). The record is from Rfam by way of RNAcentral. Lineage: Eukaryota; Metazoa; Arthropoda; Arachnida; Araneae; Eresidae.
GCCUUCGUGGUGUAGUGGUCAGCACGCUCGACGCAUUUUCCAGAGGUCCUUGGUUCGAGUCCCGGCGAGGGCA